UCCCCGAACAGGACUCGAACCUGUGACAACUCGAUUAACAGUCGAGUGCGCACUCGACUGUUAAUCGAGUUGUCACAGGUUCGAGUCCUGUUCGGGGAGCCA
This 102-nucleotide transfer RNA is filed under the name Paenibacillus polymyxa CR1. Its description in RNAcentral is "tRNA-Und (NNN) (tRNA-Und-NNN-1-1)". Lineage: Bacteria; Bacillati; Bacillota; Bacilli; Caryophanales; Paenibacillaceae. The record is from RNAcentral.